GUGCCAGCAGCCGCGGUAAUACGGGGGAUGCAAGCGUUAUCCGGAUUUAUUGGGUUUAAAGGGUGCGUAGGCGGCUUGGUAAGUCAGCUGUGAAAUGUCCAUGCUCAACAUGGAACGUGCAGUUGAUACUGUCGAGCUAGAAUGCGGAUGCCGUGGGAGGAAUGUGUGGUGUAGCGGUGAAAUGCAUAGAUAUCACACAGAACACCGAUUGCGAAGGCAUCUCACGAAUCCGCUAUUGACGCUGAGGCACGAAAGCGCGGGUAUCGAACAGGAUUAGAUACCCUGGUAGUCCGCGCUGUAAACGAUGAUAACUAACCGUCGGCGAUAGAAUGUCGGUGGCCAAGCGAAAGCGAUAAGUUAUCCACCUGGGGAGUACGGCCGCAAGGCUGAAACUCAAAGGAAUUGACGGGGGCCCGCACAAGCGGAGGAACAUGUGGUUUAAUUCGAUGAUACGCGAGGAACCUUACCCGGGCUCGAACGGUAUGUGAACGACUCAGAGAUGAGGAGGUCCUUCGGGACGCAUAUCGAGGUGCUGCAUGGUUGUCGUCAGCUCGUGUCGUGAGAUGUUGGCUUAAGUGCCAUAACGAGCGCAACCCUUGUCGUUAGUUACUAACAGGUUAAGCUGAGGACUCUAGCGAGACUGCCACCGCAAGGUGUGAGGAAGGGGGGGAUGACGUCAAAUCAGCACGGCCCUUACGUCCGGGGCGACACACGUGUUACAAUGGCAGGUACAGAGGGAUGCUACCGGGUGACCGGAUGCGGAUCUCGAAAACCUGUCUCAGUUCGGAUUGGAGUCUGCAACUCGACUCCAUGAAGUUGGAUUCGCUAGUAAUCGCGCAUCAGCCAUGGCGCGGUGAAUACGUUCCCGGGCCUUGUACACACCGCCCGU
Molecule: ribosomal RNA, 889 nt
Filed under: uncultured bacterium
Lineage: Bacteria
Description: bacterial SSU rRNA
Rfam family: Bacterial small subunit ribosomal RNA
Source: RNAcentral